AGUGAACGCUGGCGGCGUGCCUAAUACAUGCAAGUCGAACGGAGUGGCGCACGGGUGAGUAAUAUAUAGCUAAUCUGCCCCUUGCUGGAGGACAACAGUUAGAAAUGACUGCUAAUACUCCAUAGCAAGGGAUGAGACUAUAUCGUAUCAGCUAGUCGGUGGGGUAACGGCCUACCGAGGCCAUGACGCGUAACUGGUCUGAGAGGAUGAUCAGUCACAUAGGAACUUAGACAAGGUCCAAACUACUACGUGAGGCAGCAGUAGGGAAUAUUGCGCAAUGGGGGAAGCGCUGACGAAGCAACGCCGCGUGGAGGAGGACACUUUUCAGGGCGUAAACUCCUUUUGUUAGGGAAGCGGUAUCUAACCAGAAAGCCACGGCUAACUACGUGCCAGCCGCCGCGGUAAUAC
RNAcentral lists this ribosomal RNA (408 nucleotides) under uncultured bacterium. Its description in RNAcentral is "partial 16S ribosomal RNA". It matches the Rfam family "Bacterial small subunit ribosomal RNA", at positions 29 to 526 of the family's 1533-position model. The record is from RNAcentral.